AGCUUUGCGCAGUGGCAGUAUCGUAGCCUAUGAGGUCUAUCCGAGGCGCGAUUAUUGCUAGUUGAAAACUUUACCCAAUACCCCGCCUGGAUGACUUGAAAAAUAGUCGGAUAUGGCAAUUUUUGACAGUCUCUGAGGAGA
This is a small nuclear RNA of 141 nucleotides. Its record names the gene U4. It matches the Rfam family "U4 spliceosomal RNA". From Rfam's summary of the family: U4 small nuclear RNA (U4 snRNA) is a component of the major U2-dependent spliceosome. The structure of U4 snRNA from yeast and human has been reported. The record is from Ensembl.